AGGGACGUCUGGAUGUCAUCUGGUCUGUCCAGGCCCUCUGCUUAAGCAGCAAGUUGCCCUGGACCAUGUCCAGACAGCUUCUGAAUGUCUCCAAGGAGGGAGAUUCCACCAGCUCUCUGGGCAGCCCGUGCCAGUGUUUGGUUACUUGCACAGUGAAAAAGUGUUUCCUGGUGUUCAAAGGGAACCUUCUGUAUUUCAGUUUGUCCUUCUGGUCCUGUCACUGGGCACCACUGGGAAGAGCCUGCCUCUGUCCUCUUUGCACUCUCCAUUCAGUUGCAGGAGAUCACAGCACACAAGUUAUGAGUGAGGGCAGCCUUGGUAAACUACUGGAACAAUAAAGAAAUAAAUGGAUGAAGUGAGACCAUGGUAGUGACCUGAAGGACUGACAAAUUCUUCAUGAAUCUCUUUUACAAUGACCAAAUAUCUGCAACUCUCUUGACCUCUGUUCACCUUUGAUAUGGAAGUUCCAAACCCAGACUGCUGGCUUCUGCAGAGAGUCAAUCACCUGCUGGAGAUUUCAAAGCCUUGUCCUUGCACAGCAUACAGUCAUGGAUCUGCAUUUAAAGGCCUCCACAUCAGUGAAUUAAAAGAUGUUAUUGGCACAUUGCAGCACAUGAUCUUCUAGUCCCUGGUGCUUAUCUAUAGACUGGAUAUCUCCAAAAUGGAUUGUCAGCUUGGUGGAAUUUAUGCUGUCAUGUUCUGCCUUUAUAAUAUGCAAUUAGUGAUAAUCAUAGCAAUAAACAGCUGAUAAAAACAGCCAAAUGUAUUGAGAGCAGGCAUAAAACAUCAUAAAAAUAAAUGGCUUUUCUGCAAUGCAGAGGAUGCAUCUUUAAAAUCUGUACUAGGCCACCAUUAUUUGUUGGAGCUGCUAAUAACCAAAGACUGUCAUAGUAUAUUUUAUAAUCUUUAGGGAUGAAUGACAGCAACAACAAAAAAAAAACAGCAUAGUGAUCAGAUGUUUUUCACGUGCCUUCAAUUUGUCCCUGGAACUGUUGAGGUGAAAGGCUUAUACUGUAAAUGAAUGACAACUCAGAAAACUCUGCAAUUUUCCAGGGGGAAUUAAUUUAACUAAUGACAUUACAGGAAUAUCCUUUGUGUCACAUGUUAAAGGUUAUACCAUGAUAAAGUUGUAAAUUUACUGGAUUCAGUAUUAGGGAGAGUCAACAGCAAGCAUGCCAACCUGCACAGCAUUUACAGAAGUUAGCCUCAAUCUUCAGGCUUUCCAUCCUGACUAGCCUGCAAAAACAAGCAGGUUUCUCAAAGAGAGAUGGGAAAAUGAAACCAGCCCACUUCAGAAUUUCAUUAAAGAACAGAAACUGUGGUACAUGAGUUUCAAAGACUUCCAAAGCUUCCAGUUUCUACUAUUACUUGAAGCUACACUCUGUAUCUCUGAAAGUGUGCAUUGCUUCUUUAAAUAAAUAGGAACCACAUACAAUGUA
Pezoporus occidentalis (night parrot) is the source of this 1439-nucleotide long non-coding RNA. RefSeq lists it as uncharacterized. The record is from RefSeq and is a predicted model, not a curated record. Lineage: Eukaryota; Metazoa; Chordata; Aves; Psittaciformes; Psittacidae. The transcript is spliced from 5 exons.